CAUUAGGAAGAACUUCCUGGUGGCAAGAACUGUCCAAUGCCAUAGAAUCCUAGGAGAUGCAAUUUGGUGAGGCAUGAACAUGCACCAGCAUCAAAACCCUUGUGAAACUUCAAUGAUUCUAUAGCAUUGAGCAGUGAUAACGUAGCGUCACACUGCAAUCAUUCUACAGAUGUACCUUAAAACACAACUUUACCAUUUUGUCUCAAAAUAACUUGGUCUUAACAAGACUCCGGUAAUUUUGAAAACGAUUCCGAAGAUAUCAGCGAGCUGUCGCUGCCAAAUAUUGUCUUCUAAUUCUCUAAAAUAUCCUAGAACACUGGCCUCUUUGCAGCCUAUGAGUGUAUUAAGAUCUCUUCAUUCCUUUGAAAUGUUUCUGUGCCACUUAUCUGUUGAAAUGAUAUGCAAAGCAGCUUGCAGCAACCACCCUCAGUGCAAACCGCAAGUCAUUGCUUGGAAAGAUAAUUUUUUUUGACUGCAGGGACAUCCCUUUAGGCUGAAACUAUAUCAGCUGUUUGGAGGAACAUUUCCUGGAAAUCUACACAAAGCAGAUGGGACCUUGCCCACGCACAGAUGCCUUCUGCUCCUGCCGGCUGCCAAUGCAACUACGAUUAAGACAAUCAGGAACAGUAAUUGAGCAGUUCUGAUAUCCUGGCAAUAAUGUGAUGUGAGUGGGCAGCGUUCUCCUCUUCCUCCCUGGCAUCAAGAAGUGAAGUAAUCUUGCUUUACACAUGGUUUUUAAACAAAUAUUUGCCAUAAUUGCCAUUGUGGGUCGCCAGGGUGCUGCAAUUAUACAGUGCCCUUAAUUUGUAAGAAGCCUUGAAAAGGUGCAAAUGUGGCAUAAAAAGGAAAAAAAAAACAUUAAAUAUCACACCUACACUGUUUAGGCCAGACACAAGUAAGAAGGCAGGGUCAAGCAAGGCAGUGCAGAAGACUGGGAGAAUGUUAAAACAUGAAGUGCAACCCUAGUGCUAUUGGAGAAAAGUCUGAAAAUUAUUAUUCCCAUAUGAAUUUGUUUCCAUCUGCUUAACACCAUUGCUGCAAGGCAAUAAACUGGUGUGAUAAAACUGUAAAAUAUAGCUCAAAAAUGUUUAAUCUGUAAUAACAAGUAUGUUUCAAGCCUAUGCAUGUCUACUUCAGCUUCAGACUACUACCACUGUUCAUCAUUUCUAAAUUUCAGCUUUCAGUUUACAAAUCUUGUGAACCCAUUGCAUUUCUCUCUCUGUGUGUGUGUGUUUAUAUAUCUGCCGAUUUAGAAUAAUCUGUCAUUGCAUUAAACGGAGAAUUCUAGUCCACAAACCCGAAUGCCAUAAUAAAUAUCUUAUUCUUAAACAUGUUUGUUGUCCAUGGGUAACACUUAUAUUGAGUGUAUCUAUGCUAUAGAAUUAGUGCAAUUUGAUACCACUUUCAUUUCCAUGACUCAGUGUUAUGGAAUGAUGGUGAUGUUGAGCACCGAAAUUAAUAAAAUUAUGAAAUUGAGACCACAGCGAUCAGAGUUCAGCUGACCUGUUAUGCGGACAAUUGGAGGUACAGAGGAGCACAGAAGCAGCUGCCAUUAUCCCGAAUACAUUCUAUCUUCUCCCUUUAUUACAAAAAAUAACCCCUUCAAUAAAUGUGCAUUGUGGUGUGUUAUCCUAUAUUUUGAUUCUUUGCAUCCUUUUUGUCUCCUGUGUCUUUUCCUCUCUUCUUUUGCAUCUUGCAGCCGGCCCCGAUAACCACCUAGCCCCGUAGUCCCCACGGCCCUCAGAGCGGGGUUGCCUUCCUUACCUUCCCCAACAUAUAACCCCAACUGUCCCCCAAGUCAACCCUUGCUCCGUGGGUACCCCGGUUCCCGUGUUUGCGAGCCCCCGAUAACCACAGACCCCCUGUAUAUAUAUAUUUUUUUAAUUUACAGUAUUUAUAUUCCGCCCUUCUCACCCCGAAGGGGACUCAGGGCAGAUCACAUUAUAUACAUAUAGGGCAAACAUUCAAUGCCCAUAUACACAUAGAACCAAGAUAGAAACAGACGCAGAGGCAAUUUAACUUCUCCUGAGGGGAUGUUCGAUUCUGGCCACAGGGGGGAGCAGCUGCUUCAUCAUCCACUCUGAUGGCACUUCCUCAUUCCAACGUCGUAAAUUAGUUAAAUUUGCCUCCCCACUUUAUAAGUGGUACCUUAUUUCCUACUUGAUAGAUGCAACUAUCUUUCAGGUUGCUCGGUCAGCAACGACCAGGGGCUAUUUUUUUUUAAUUGACGGGUGCUCACCCCGCCACAGGCUGGCCUCAAACUCAUGACCUCAUGGUCAGAGUGAUUUAUUACAGCAGGCUGCUCACCAGCCUGCGCCACAGCCCAGCCCGGCCCUGCGCCACAGCCAUAUUUUGUGUUUCAUAUAAAACUUUUGGAAAUCAAGACCCAGCUGUAGGCGGAAUCUGGACUGCUCCCUCAGAAGUCCCAGGACUUCUGAGGGCACUGUCUGCAAAGCCCUCUUUCCGGGCUCCAUAAACCUGGAAUAUCCGAGAGGGCACCCACGCUCUCCCAAACCCCCUUAAAAACUGGUUAAAAUUU
Long non-coding RNA from Anolis carolinensis (green anole), 2539 nucleotides. RefSeq lists it as uncharacterized. Lineage: Eukaryota; Metazoa; Chordata; Lepidosauria; Squamata; Anolidae. The transcript is spliced from 2 exons. The record is from RefSeq and is a predicted model, not a curated record.